UAAUAUAAAUAUUAUUAUGGAUAUUUGUUUAAUUUGUUUAUUAGAAAUAACUUUUGUUUUAGUAUUCUUUAUUGAAAUAAUUGUUUUAUUUAUAAAUUAUUGUACUGUGAAGGACUUAUUUUUAUUUUUUAAAAGUAGUUUUAAUUUUAUGUACCUUUUGUAUCAGGGUUGAUUAAUUUGUUGUAUCUAUAUACUUUUCCCGAAUUUUGAAGAGAUAAGGUUGAUUGUUAGUUAAUGUAUUAAAAUUAUUGAUUAAUUAAUUUUAGUAAUGAGAUGUUAUUCGUUUCUUUAUAUCUGGUUUUUUAAGAGUUGAAUUUAAUUCAGGCUUGUUUGUGUAAUUUAUAAUUUAUGUUAAGUUAUUGUUGAUCAAGCUAAGGCCCUUAGGGAUAAGCUUGGGGGCAUAUCUAAAAUUAUGAGAUUAAUGGAGUUUAGUAGGUUUGGAAUCGGCCAUCAUUAAUUUCGUUAUAGACUAUCUUCUUAUUUAAUUUAUUUAGUUUUAUUUAGUUUUAUAUUAAGAUGAUUUAAUUAAUGGUUAAUUAAGUGUAAUAAUGAUUGAAUUAGUAUAUUUUAUAAUUAAAUUAUAGGAACUUGGCAAGUAUCGUACUCGCCUGUUUAACAAAAACAUGUCCUUUUGUUAUUUAUAUAAGGUCUAGCCUGCCCAAUGAUGUUUUUAAUGGCCGCGGUAUUUUAACCGUGCUAAGGUAGCAUAAUCAUUUGUCUUUUAAUUGAGGGCUGGAAUGAAAGGUUGGACGAGGUAUCAGCUUUCUUUAAUUUAAUUUUUGAAUUUAAUUUUUAAGUAAAAAGGCUUAAAUUUUCUUGUUAGACGAGAAGACCCUAUAGAUCUUGACAUUUAGCUUAUUUGUAAUAUUUAGUGGUUAAUUUUUUAUAAUUAUCAUGGAUGUUUGGUUGGGGUGAUUGAAGAAUUCAGACAACUUCUUUUAUCUGUUUUCAUUAAUUAGUGUUUUUAUGAUCCAUUUAUAAUGAUUAGAAGAUUAAGUUACCUUAGGGAUAACAGCGUAAUUUUUAUGGAGAGUCCAUAUCGAUAUAGAAGUUUGCGACCUCGAUGUUGGAUUAAAAUAAGUUUUGAGUGUAGCAGUUCAAAUACUAGGUCUGUUCGACCUUUGAUUUUUUACAUGAUCUGAGUUCAGACCGGCGUGAGCCAGGUCAGUUUCUAUCUUCAAUUUGGUUGUAUAUAUUAGUACGAAAGGACCAUAUAUGCAGAAUAAUUCUUAUGUAUUGUUUAAUAAUAAAU
This 1252-nucleotide ribosomal RNA is filed under the name Paedocoris sp. AMNH PBI 00219006. RNAcentral's name for it is "partial large subunit ribosomal RNA". The stretch from base 817 to 1181 matches the Rfam family "Bacterial large subunit ribosomal RNA", at positions 2073 to 2647 of the family's 2925-position model. Lineage: Eukaryota; Metazoa; Arthropoda; Insecta; Hemiptera; Reduviidae. The record is from RNAcentral.